AAGGGCACCACAAGAACGCGUGGAGCAUGUGGCUUAAUUUGACUCAACGCGGGAAGUCUUACCGGGUCCGGACACACUGAGGAUUGACAGGUGAUAUUUUGUAUGCCGAAUUUGUGACUUUUCGUGGUUGCAGAUUAUUAAUUAUAAAAUAAACAAAUAUGCUAGUCCUUUCAUGAUUAUGUGAUAGGUGGUGCAUGGCCGUUCUUAGUUCGUGGAGUGAUCUGUCUGCUUAAUUGCGUUUUAUCUGAACCUAAUUUUAGUGUGUACUGAGUACGCCCUUUCUUAUGCUGCAUGCUGUACUCUGUGCAGCUGCGCUGAAAGGGAUUGUUUUCUCGGUAUACCAUCAAUGGUUCGAAUGCAACGAACGUGACCG
Molecule: ribosomal RNA, 373 nt
Filed under: Foraminifera environmental sample
Lineage: Eukaryota; Foraminifera
Description: SSU rRNA
Rfam family: Eukaryotic small subunit ribosomal RNA
Source: RNAcentral